Molecule: non-coding RNA, 30 nt
Filed under: Homo sapiens (human)
Lineage: Eukaryota; Metazoa; Chordata; Mammalia; Primates; Hominidae
Source: RNAcentral
UCCUGGGCUGUUUUCUCAUAGAAGAGGAUC